This is a small nuclear RNA of 126 nucleotides. Its record names the gene U1. It matches the Rfam family "U1 spliceosomal RNA". From Rfam's summary of the family: U1 is a small nuclear RNA (snRNA) component of the spliceosome (involved in pre-mRNA splicing). The record is from Ensembl.
UUACUUACCUUCUGGAUCAUGUAGCCAGUGGGUCCAGGGCGAGACUUAUCUAUUGAACACCAGCUUAUCUGCCCUUUGCGAUUACCCCAAAUGUAGGUAUAAACUCGGCCGUAUAAUUUCUGGCGU